UGGAUAUUAUAGUGUACUGAAAUGUUAACUGGAUACCUCCAUACAUGUUAUGAUAAUAUCAGAAGUAUGUGUACCAUACCUAUGCAUGCCAAAAGUUUAGUUGCAUGAUAAUAAUUUAAAAAUGACAUACACAUAGAUAAAUGUAGUUAUUCAAAAUCAGUGUAAGGGGCCUGGGAACGACUGUGUUGCCUUGACAACAAAAUUAGAAGUGUUUUCUCAUGCGUCUCUUUAUGUACUAUCUGUAUGCAAAAUUUCAUUUGAUUUGGGCCCAUAAUAACUGAGCUUUGCUUCAGUUUACUAUUCAAUAAACAUACUUACCCAACUAAUGACCUCACAGGUUGUGCUGAAUCGGCAAUUUAUAUUUUGCACAUUUUUGCGUAUAACUUCGGAAUUAGAUGAGAUAGAAUAGAGCAUUAAACGGCCAAGCAGCUAAUUUUUUAUGCUCUUUCAGAUGAAGCAAUAAAAAUUUUGGUUGCCAAUGUCCUUUAAAUAACCACAGGGGCCCCACUAUGAGUUAUGAUUGAAAUAAUAUUGUAUUUAUUUUUUAAAACCUACUUGAAUCCCUUGAUAAUCGAUUAUUUCUUCUCUCGAAGUUCUGUAAACAUUUUAAACUGCUUGGAGUCAUUAUACUAUCACUCUACGUGACGUUUCAAUAAGUAUAGAUGAUCGCUGACAAGUAAGGACCGUGGGUGCGAAAAGACGAAGGCGGCGAAAGAAGGGAGAAUUAAACUAAAG
Molecule: non-coding RNA, 735 nt
Organism: Paramuricea clavata
Lineage: Eukaryota; Metazoa; Cnidaria; Anthozoa; Malacalcyonacea; Plexauridae
Source: the annotation of a GenBank genome assembly